RNAcentral lists this ribosomal RNA (492 nucleotides) under uncultured bacterium. Its description in RNAcentral is "partial 16S ribosomal RNA". It matches the Rfam family "Bacterial small subunit ribosomal RNA", at positions 29 to 507 of the family's 1533-position model. The record is from RNAcentral.
AGUGAACGCUGGCGGUAGGCCUAACACAUGCGAGUCGAACGGCAGCACAGUAAGAGCUUGCUCUUACGGGUGGCGAGUGGCGGACGGGUGAGGAAUACAUCGGAAUCUACUUUUUCGUGGGGGAUAACGGAGGGAAACUUACGCUAAUACCGCAUACGACCUACGGGUGAAAGCAGGGGAUCUUCGGACCUUGCGCGAUUGAAUGAGCCGAUGUCGGAUUAGCUAGUUGGCGGGGUAAAGGCCCACCAAGGCGACGAUCCGUAGCUGGUCUGAGAGGAUGAUCAGCCACACUGGAACUGCGACACGGUCCAGCCUCCUACGGGAGGCAGCAGUGGGGAAUAUUGGACAAUGGGCGCAAGCCUGAUCCAGCCAUACCGCGUGGGUGAAGAAGGCCUUCGGGUUGUAAAGCCCUUUUGUUGGGAAAGAAAAGCAGCAGGUUAAUACCCCGCUGUUCUGACGGUACCCAAAGAAUAAGCACCGGCUAACUUCGUG